GGAGGAUCCGAGCGUUAUCCGGAUUUAUUGGGUUUAAAGGGAGCGUAGGUGGACUGGUAAGUCAGUUGUGAAAGUUUGCGGCUCAACCGUAAAAUUGCAGUUGAUACUGUCAGUCUUGAGUACAGUAGAGGUGGGCGGAAUUCGUGGUGUAGCGGUGAAAUGCUUAGAUAUCACGAAGAACUCCGAUUGCGAAGGCAGCUCACUGGACUGCAACUGACACUGAUGCUCGAAAGUGUGGGUAUCAAACAGGAUUAGAUACCCUGGUAGUCCACACAGUAAACGAUGAAUACUCGCUGUUUGCGAUAUACAGUAAGCGGCCAAGCGAAAGCAUUAAGUACUCCACCUGGGGGGUACGCCGGCAACGGUG
This 367-nucleotide ribosomal RNA is filed under the name uncultured bacterium. RNAcentral's name for it is "bacterial SSU rRNA". It matches the Rfam family "Bacterial small subunit ribosomal RNA", at positions 527 to 896 of the family's 1533-position model. The record is from RNAcentral.